This 262-nucleotide ribosomal RNA is filed under the name uncultured bacterium. RNAcentral's name for it is "partial 16S ribosomal RNA". It matches the Rfam family "Bacterial small subunit ribosomal RNA", at positions 92 to 354 of the family's 1533-position model. The record is from RNAcentral.
CGACCGGCGCACGGGUGCGUAACGCGUAUGCAACCUACCUGUAACAGGGGGAUAACACUGAGAAAUCGGUACUAAUACCGCAUAACACUAUGAGAGGCAUCUCUUGUGGUUGAAAGUUUCGGCGGUUACAGAUGGGCAUGCGUUGUAUUAGCUGGUUGGUAAGGUAACGGCUUACCAAGGCGACGAUACAUAGGGGGACUGAGAGGUUAACCCCCCCACAUUGGUACUGAGACACGGACCAAACUCCUACGGGAGGCAGCAG